Molecule: ribosomal RNA, 419 nt
Filed under: uncultured bacterium
Lineage: Bacteria
Description: bacterial SSU rRNA
Rfam family: Bacterial small subunit ribosomal RNA
Source: RNAcentral
CGCGAAGAACCUUACCUGGGCUUGACAUGUACGUAGUAGUGAAGGGAAACCGGAACGAGCCUUCGGGCAGCGUAGACAGGUGCUGCAUGGCUGUCGUCAGCUCGUGUCGUGAGAUGUUGGGUUAAGUCCCGCAACGAGCGCAACCCGUGUUGCUAGUUACAAGUGUCUAGCGAGACUGCCGGUAACAAGCCGGAGGAAGGUGCGGAUGAUGUCAAGUCAGCAUGGCCUAUAUGUCCAGGGCUACACACACGCUACAAUGGCUGGUACAAAGAGAAGCGAAAGGGAGACCUGAAGCGAAUCUCAUCAAAGCCAGUCAUAGUUCGGAUUGCAGGCUGCAACUCGCCUGCAUGAAGUCGGAGUUGCUAGUAACCGCAGGUCAGCAAUACUGCGGUGAAUACGUUCCCGGGCCUUGUACACAC